This 483-nucleotide ribosomal RNA is filed under the name uncultured bacterium. RNAcentral describes it as "partial 16S ribosomal RNA". It matches the Rfam family "Bacterial small subunit ribosomal RNA", at positions 29 to 507 of the family's 1533-position model. The record is from RNAcentral.
UUGAACGCUGGCGGCAUGCCUAACACAUGCAAGUCGAACGGCAGCGCGGGGGCAACCCUGGCGGCGAGUGGCGGACGGGUGAGGAAUGCAUAGGAAUCUGCCCGGUUGUGGGGGAUAACGUAGGGAAACUUACGCUAAUACCGCAUACGACCUUCGGGUGAAAGUGGGGGACCUUCGGGCCUCACGCGAUCGGAUGAGCCUAUGCCCGAUUAGCUAGUUGGCGGGGUAAGAGCCCACCAAGGCGACGAUCGGUAGCUGGUCUGAGAGGAUGAUCAGCCACACUGGGACUGAGACACGGCCCAGACUCCUACGGGAGGCAGCAGUGGGGAAUAUUGGACAAUGGGCGCAAGCCUGAUCCAGCAAUGCCGCGUGUGUGAAGAAGGCCUUCGGGUUGUAAAGCACUUUUGUUCGGGAAGAAAUCCGUGUGGUUAAUACCCGUACGGGAUGACGGUACCGAAAGAAUAAGCACCGGCUAACUUCGUG